GGAGUUGGUGGCUCAGUGGUAGAGUGCAUGCUUUUGUAUGUAUGAUGUCCUGGGUUCAAUCCAAAGCUUCACCCCA
This is a non-coding RNA of Dallia pectoralis (Alaska blackfish), 76 nucleotides long. Lineage: Eukaryota; Metazoa; Chordata; Actinopteri; Esociformes; Umbridae. The record is from the annotation of a GenBank genome assembly.